CUAUUUGAGGGUCAUCUGGCUGAGACCUCUGUCAUCCUGUUGAAUGCCAGGGCAGGUUUGGCUGAUCUGUCUGGCUAGACAGGUUCUCCUUCCUCCCUUACCACUCCAUGUGCAUCCUUCCUGAAGCUGCUUGCUUGUUGGAGGAAGAUGACCAUACCAGAUAGGAGUGUGCAGUUCUUCAGUCAAGGGUAGAGAUGGGCAUGAAUUUAGAAACAAAUUAAAAUCUUAUUUAAAACUGCUAAUUUGUUGAUUCAUAUUCAUAUUCCUCCCUGAUGAAUAAACAU
RNAcentral lists this small nuclear RNA (284 nucleotides) under Pogona vitticeps (central bearded dragon). RNAcentral's name for it is "7SK RNA (ENSPVIG00000011514.1)". It matches the Rfam family "7SK RNA". From Rfam's summary of the family: 7SK was discovered as an abundant small nuclear RNA in the mid-70s but a possible function has only recently been suggested. Two independent studies have found that 7SK RNA binds the CDK9/cyclin T complex (known as elongation factor P-TEFb). Lineage: Eukaryota; Metazoa; Chordata; Lepidosauria; Squamata; Agamidae. The record is from RNAcentral.